This 987-nucleotide ribosomal RNA is filed under the name uncultured Flavobacteriaceae bacterium. RNAcentral's name for it is "bacterial SSU rRNA". It matches the Rfam family "Bacterial small subunit ribosomal RNA", at positions 56 to 1052 of the family's 1533-position model. The record is from RNAcentral. Lineage: Bacteria; Pseudomonadati; Bacteroidota; Flavobacteriia; Flavobacteriales; Flavobacteriaceae.
UGCAAGUCGAGGGGUAUAGUUCUUCGGAGCUAGAGACCGGCGCACGGGUGCGUAACGCGUAUGCAAUCUACCUUUUACAGAGGGAUAGCCCAGAGAAAUUUGGAUUAAUACCUCAUAGUAUGUGAGAAUCGCAUGGUUUUCACAUUAAAGUCACAACGGUAAAAGAUGAGCAUGCGUCCCAUUAGCUUGUUGGUAAGGUAACGGCUUACCAAGGCAACGAUGGGUAGGGGUCCUGAGAGGGAGAUCCCCCACACUGGUACUGAGACACGGACCAGACUCCUACGGGAGGCAGCAGUGAGGAAUAUUGGACAAUGGGCGCAAGCCUGAUCCAGCCAUGCCGCGUGCAGGAUGACGGUCCUAUGGAUUGUAAACUGCUUUUGUACAGGAAGAAACACUCCCUCGUGAGGGAGCUUGACGGUACUGUAAGAAUAAGGAUCGGCUAACUCCGUGCCAGCAGCCGCGGUAAUACGGAGGAUCCAAGCGUUAUCCGGAAUCAUUGGGUUUAAAGGGUCCGUAGGCGGUUUAAUAAGUCAGUGGUGAAAGCCCAUCGCUCAACGGUGGAACGGCCAUUGAUACUGUUAAACUUGAAUUAUUAGGAAGUAACUAGAAUAUGUAGUGUAGCGGUGAAAUGCUUAGAGAUUACAUGGAAUACCAAUUGCGAAGGCAGGUUACUACUAAUGGAUUGACGCUGAUGGACGAAAGCGUGGGUAGCGAACAGGAUUAGAUACCCUGGUAGUCCACGCCGUANACGAUGGAUACUAGCUGUUGGGAGCAAUCUCAGUGGCUAAGCGAAAGUGAUAAGUAUCCCACCUGGGGAGUACGUUCGCAAGAAUGAAACUCAAAGGAAUUGACGGGGGCCCGCACAAGCGGUGGAGCAUGUGGUUUAAUUCGAUGAUACGCGAGGAACCUUACCCAGGCUUAAAUGUAGUUUGACCGAUUUGGAAACAGAUCUUUCGCAAAGACAAUUACAAGGUGCUGCAUGGUUGU